UGGGGAAUUUUGGGCAAUGGGCGAAAGCCUGACCCAGCAACGCCGCGUGAAGGAUGAAGUAUUUCGGUAUGUAAACUUCGAAAGAAUAGGAAGAAUAAAUGACGGUACUAUUUAUAAGGUCCGGCUAACUACGUGCCAGCAGCCGCGGUAAUACGUAGGGACCAAGCGUUGUUCGGAUUUACUGGGCGUAAAGGGCGCGUAGGCGGCAAUUCAAGUCAUCUGUGAAAUCUCCGGGCUUAACUCGGAACGGUCAGAUGAUACUGCUUUGCUAGAGUGCAGAAGGGGCAAUCGGAAUUCUUGGUGUAGCGGUGAAAUGCGUAGAUAUCAAGAGGAACACCUGAGGUGAAGACGGGUUGCUGGGCUGACACUGACGCUGAGGCGCGAAAGCCAGGGGAGCAAA
RNAcentral lists this ribosomal RNA (400 nucleotides) under uncultured bacterium. RNAcentral describes it as "bacterial SSU rRNA". It matches the Rfam family "Bacterial small subunit ribosomal RNA", at positions 355 to 772 of the family's 1533-position model. The record is from RNAcentral.